Brachypodium distachyon (stiff brome) is the source of this 125-nucleotide non-coding RNA. Lineage: Eukaryota; Viridiplantae; Streptophyta; Magnoliopsida; Poales; Poaceae. The record is from Rfam.
CUGUUACUUCCUCCGUUCCAUAAUUCUUGUCUCAAAUUUGUCAAAAAAUGAAUGUAUCUAUUCCUAAAAAAUGUCUAGAUACAUGUAAUAUUUCGACAAGAAUUAUGGAAUGGAGGGAGUAUCUU